CUGUGUCACCCUGCCGGGAGCGAGGGAAGGCGCUGGCAUGGAGGGAGGAGAGGGGAAGGGACAAGGCCAUUCCAGGGCUGUUGGGCAGCAGAGGGAUGCGGGAAGGAGGAGGAGGAGGGAGCCGGGACCCCCUCCAGCAGCGGGCACGAAGCCACCAGGGAGGAAGAAGCCACCAGGCAGGAGUGCCACCAGUGCCACCACCGCCAGCACCAGGGCAGCAGAACAGCACCAAAAGAGCAGAAAGCAGCGGGCCCACUCCCCUCCAGUGCUUCAAAUCCCAGCUCCUGGGAGGAACCCUGACUCAGCCCAAAGCUCUGCACAGGGGAAUGAGGAGGAUGCAAAAAUAAACGAGGCUGUAGCACCAGCUGGCAGCAUUUUGGGUUCUGCUGGGGCAGGGGAAGGUCUCAGUGCUCAGCUGAGCCAAAGCCUCCGCUGGGAUGGGGCUCUGGAGGAUCCCCAGGCAGAGAGGGAAAGGCUGCAGGUUUAUAGGGUGAACAGGAGGAAAAGGUAUGAAUUGUAUAUCCAGGAGCACUUCCCAGCUGCCAGGAAUUCCCCACCCCUCCACGGCAGCAGCAGCAGGUAAAGGAGAUUCCUGCAGUGAUUAUUUGGAAGAGCAAAAAUUGCUGUGCCCGAAUGCUGAUUGAGGAGUUGCUGUGAACUGAAUGCUGAAGGAGCCUCUGAGCUGCACCAGGGGUGUCACCCAAAAUCCCAAUAAUUUCUGUAUCCUAACAGUGGUUCCUCAAUGUCUGUGUGGAGAAAAGGACAUUUAUAUUUUACAAAACAAACCUGGUAAAAUAUGGCUGCAACUCAGACUGCAUCAACAAUUAAAGUGCUCCUUUCUACACUGCGUUUGUGCUAAUUAUUGCUGUUGGUUUAUUUACAAAUAACACUGCUAAACUUUCCAGCUAUUCACGUUGUACACUGCAGAUUUGUGAGCAGAUGAAGGAUCAGACACCUUGUUUAGAGGCUGAAAUGAUUUCCAGGCACAUGAACUUACCUUCCUUGAAACUGAGUGAGCUGCAAAGUCAGGGUGGGAAUCCAGCCCUCACCUCCUGGCUUUUGAUCCAAUUGUUGCUUUAUUUUUGUAAUAAAAAUUCAUUAUCUCAGACCCUCAGGUGUGACAUUCUGGAGAAGCACAUGUGAAAGGCAAACAGCACAUCCAGAACAACAGGGCUUCCUUCUAACGCUAAUUAGAAGUUCAUUGGGCCAAUAUGAUUUAAAAAUCACAUGGAACAGCCUUGUACUCCCCAACUUCAAAUUUUUAUAGGAAAAAAAUGUUUUUCAUACAGAGUGUCAUGACAAUAUCUAAGGAGAACAGCCCAGCCCUCACUGCAGGAAGAUUUGAAAGUUAGGUGACAUCUGAAAGUCUCCCCGAACUCCCCUGCAAGACACUGUGCUGACUUCUCAAGUUUUUUCUUAAUGACUUUUUAAAUCGACCCUUUUAUACAGAAUUGACGUUUAUAAGUGGCUUUUCUCCUGUUUAAUACUUCAAAACUCCAGGAUACCCAAAAGCUCUGAGAGCCUUUUGCUGGAAGCAGCAGCUUUGCAGCAGCUCCACGGCUCCCCAGACCCCAAUAAUGUCAUUACAUGCAACUCUAGAGCUUCCACAAGCACAUAACCAGAUGAACAAUAAAAAAGUAAGCAAAAAAUCCCAUUAGGAAUUAAUUAACUGAUGUUCAAUUACAUCCAUUCCUGCUCUGCCAGAGUCACUAACAAAAUCAGCACGCCUGCAAAAUGUGGAAAGGUUAAAAGAACAGAUUAAGCAUCCAGAAAACCACCAGAGCAUUUCUCUCAACACAAUA
Zonotrichia albicollis (white-throated sparrow) is the source of this 1802-nucleotide non-coding RNA. The record is from RefSeq and is a predicted model, not a curated record. Lineage: Eukaryota; Metazoa; Chordata; Aves; Passeriformes; Passerellidae.